RNAcentral lists this ribosomal RNA (468 nucleotides) under uncultured bacterium. Its description in RNAcentral is "partial 16S ribosomal RNA". It matches the Rfam family "Bacterial small subunit ribosomal RNA", at positions 28 to 507 of the family's 1533-position model. The record is from RNAcentral.
GACGAACGCUGGCGGCGUGCUUAACACAUGCAAGUCGAACGGAAAGGCCCUGCUUUUGUGGGGUGCUCGAGUGGCGAACGGGUGAGUAACACGUGAGUAACCUGCCCUUGACUUUGGGAUAACUUCAGGAAACUGGGGCUAAUACCGGAUAGGAGCUCCUGCUGCAUGGUGGGGGUUGGAAAGUUUCGGCGGUUGGGGAUGGACUCGCGGCUUAUCAGCUUGUUGGUGGGGUAGUGGCUUACCAAGGCUUUGACGGGUAGCCGGCCUGAGAGGGUGACCGGCCACAUUGGGACUGAGAGACGGCCCAGACUCCUACGUGAGGCAGCAGUGGGGAAUAUUGCACAAUGGGCGGAAGCCUGAUGCAGCAACGCCGCGUGCGGGAUGACGGCCUUCUGGUUGUAAACCGAUUUCGCCUGUGACGAAGCGUGAGUGACGGUAAUGGGUAAUGAAGCACCGGCUAACUACGUG